RNAcentral lists this long non-coding RNA (573 nucleotides) under Mus spicilegus (steppe mouse). RNAcentral describes it as "lncRNA (ENSMSIG00000013521.1)". The record is from RNAcentral. Lineage: Eukaryota; Metazoa; Chordata; Mammalia; Rodentia; Muridae.
ACAUUGACCUUCAUUGAAGAAGAUCUGCAGGACUUACUGAGAUUACACAAGAGGAAGUGAUGAGGCAUUUUUCUGAAUGUUGAAACUAGUCUCUUUGUCCAUGAAUACCGGCACUGACUGAAAGAAUGCUUUGAAGAAAUUCCUCAAAGGUAAAAGAAACAAAAACAUGAUGGAAGCCAAGAAGACAAAUAUGAACAAAGGCAGCAAAUGUAUAAACAGCUACAGCCUAGGCCAGAAAAGACAAGUUCUAGUCUCAGAAGAAUAGAAGGGGAAAAGCAAGAAAUGGCAAGAAUAGAGUGUUGUAAAAGAAUGCAUGUCAGAGAAAACCAGUGUUUCUGGACACAUUUGAAACAAGUGGCUGAAGUCAUGGCAUGGAUUAGGAGUGUUAGUUCCAAGCACAAUGAUAAGAAGCUGUCUGUGGUGGUUUGAAUGAGAAAGGCUCAUUUAUUUGAAUGCUCUGCUUGGUCCCUACUUGAUGGAAGCAUUUUGGUAAGGAUUAGAUGUGGCCUUGGUGGAGGAAGUAUGUCACUUGCUGUGAGUUUUGAAGUUUCAAAGUCUGUGCUCUUACCUCUU